UACGUAGGUGGCAAGCGUUGUUCGGAAUAACUGGGCGUAAAGGAUGCGUAGGCGGUUAAACAAGUUAUAUGUUAAAUAUAUAGGCUUAACCUGUAGAAAGCAUAUAAAACUGUUUAACUAGAGUGCAGGAGAGGUAAGUGGAAUUCCUAGUGUAGCGGUGAAGUGCGUAGAGAUUAGGAAGAACACCAGUGGCGAAGGCGACUUACUGGACUGUAACUGACGCUGAGGCAUGAGAGCAUGGGGAGCAAACAGG
RNAcentral lists this ribosomal RNA (253 nucleotides) under uncultured bacterium. RNAcentral's name for it is "partial 16S ribosomal RNA". It matches the Rfam family "Bacterial small subunit ribosomal RNA", at positions 524 to 776 of the family's 1533-position model. The record is from RNAcentral.